GUCUUCCGCUCCAAAUGGUUAGACAUACUUUCAGUAGUCAUCAACCUCAUUUUCCCAGUUUGGAGCAAUGAACUGCUUUGUUUGAAGCUGCAAACGACAGGACUGAAAACUACCAGAGAAUAUAAAGGACAUGCUGCACACAUGUGCUCUGUGGGAGAUGUUGAGGAAUUGCUACAGCUAAGGAGCAAGGGGAAAUAUACGCGAUUAAGAAAGAAUGUACUAAACCAGUCAUGGUGCCACACCAAUUGAACCACAUCUUUCAGGAGGCAGGUGAAAUUCUGGAAGUGUAGCUACCACCCCACAUCUAGAAGUUGUCUCUAUCAGAAAAUGAAGAUCAUAACAGAAAACUACAACUGGACACUAGAGGAGAACAAUGGAUCAUGGUGAACUGUGUCCCACUGAAUAUGUCUACAUCACAGCUCCUGCAUCUGUGGUUCAGAGAACAUUAUGAAAAAGUGGAUUUGAAAGAUGCAAGAGCCAGAACACCAGGAAGUCUUCUGUUUUAACAGUCUCUCCCAGAAAUUGCUGAAUAAACAAGAUCUGAGCCAUGGCAUUUCCAAUAGACAUGUUCAUGCCAAAGAGAGAACAGCUCACAGGGUCAUAGCUCUAGACAAGAAAUUCCAGCACAUUGGUGACCGCAGAGAGAAGAAGAAUUGACAUUUCCCAAGGAAAAGUUAGAGCCCCAAGCAGUUAUCCAAUAAAA
Non-coding RNA from Peromyscus maniculatus bairdii (prairie deer mouse), 703 nucleotides. The record is from RefSeq and is a predicted model, not a curated record. NCBI's taxonomy places the organism in Eukaryota, Metazoa, Chordata, Mammalia, Rodentia, Cricetidae.